GAUUCACAUUGGUAUUUAAUUUCAAUCGUUUUUAAGAUGAAAUCAUUAUUUUUAAUUCAUUAAAGUCAGUUGGAAUAAAAGCAUCUACUACAGCCGGUGGAAACUGUCGUUCAUGUUUCCGGAAGAUUCAACAAAAAUUUGAACAAAGAUGCGGUCAACUAGCAGGAUCCGGAAGACCGAAAGCCAAAAAUAUGCCGGGGAAAAGUUUGUUGUUCGUUCGAGCUUCGGAAAUUGAAUACGAAAAGUAACAUUACAUCUGGUGUGGUGCUAUCCAAUCUGCAUCAGAGUAAAACCAAGGGAAUAUGAGUUUUGGUUAUUCAAGCGCUGCCGUGAGACGCCGCCGGCUGUUUCCGUUGAAUUUGUGUUUUAUCAGUAUCUGCUUUGUACAAUGAAAGUGAAGGCAGCUGAGGCUCCCUCCACCACCAAGAAGCAGGACGAAGAUCAGCUCCAUUCCAUUACGGCAAGCAGAACCAUUCCCGAUUCAAGUAUGAAGAGGAAAAUGAAAAGGCCGUUUAUAAGAGAAGCUUAAGGCAGAUAAAAAAGAUCGCCAUUCAGUGGAGCCUCCAUACGUUGAAAAAUAUUCUUCAUUCUCCUCAUUUCAAUUUGGCAACAUUGACGAUCGUACGUUGGAAGUUAUAAUUUUAAUCAUGUUUGAGUUUGCUGCCGAAAUAAAAUUAAAAAAAAAUAAACUAAAAUAUGAAAGAAUAC
Molecule: long non-coding RNA, 708 nt
Organism: Uranotaenia lowii
Lineage: Eukaryota; Metazoa; Arthropoda; Insecta; Diptera; Culicidae
Exons: 5
Source: RefSeq, a predicted model, not a curated record